Molecule: long non-coding RNA, 26061 nt
Filed under: Musa acuminata (dwarf banana)
Lineage: Eukaryota; Viridiplantae; Streptophyta; Magnoliopsida; Zingiberales; Musaceae
Description: long non-coding RNA (MACU_LNC004791)
Source: RNAcentral
CGUCGCUCGUUAAACUAUGUUCCUUUCAGCUGGAGGAAACGGACGGGUCCCACACGUGGUACAUCGACUAAGACCUCAACGGGUACGAAAAGCGAUGUCAUUACGUUACGGAAUCUUUUUUUUUUUUUUUGACACCCAACACGCCCAACCGUGAGAUCAGACGGCUAUAAAUCCUUCGGGUUCUCUCGAAAUUGUGCCGUCGUUUCAUCGUUUCUGUCACGCUAUGUUCUGAAAAGAUGUGAAGAUAUGACAUAUAUAUAUAUAUAUAUAUAUAUAUAUGAUUAUUAGAAAUAUUUUUAAGAUAAAAAUAUAAAACUCUUAAAAUGUGAAGAAAUUUCGUGGACGACGAAAUUAGUGAUACUAUGGAUACGAGAGAUUAAAAAAUAAUUAUCUUUUUAUUACGUUAUAGAUGAGUUUUUAUAUUUCAACAUAACGGAAUGAAAUAUUUUAUAAAAUAUUCUAUAGGAAGAUAAUCUCGAAUCGUAUCAAAUAAUCUUCGAUUGAUCUUUAUCCAUACAAGCGACAAGGGGAGACAACAUACAAUCGCAUAUAUUGGACCCUUGACCAUGUGGGCAGAUACGUAAAAGGUGACAUUUGUCUUCUCUUUCUAACUUAAGUGCUACACAUAGGCUACUUAUCAUAUGAUGAUUAACUGACGAUAUUCUUUUUAUUAUUUAUCCCCCUCGAAAGGUAUGCUUUAGGGGGCUCUUGUAAAAGAGUUAUAAAGUACGACGUUUAGUUUAUUUGAUAUGUUAAGCUUAUGCCUCUUCGAUUGAUUCUAGACUUCACACAUCAAGCAAACGCCUGAGGUUGAGGAUGCCCAACUCGCACCUUGCAUCAAUGACCUUUGUCCCUAGGCAAAGGGUUGUUCCUCAUUGAUAGGCCCUUAUCGGGAACGAGGGAGUUGGGAUGCCCAACCUCCAUGCCUCAACAACGAGGGGCAGGGGGUUGAGGCACCUAACCUCUAUGUCUUGGUGAGAGAUCACUCCUCAUUGAUGGGCCCUCUUCAGAAGUAGAUCAAUUAUUAUCGAUGUGAAUCCGACCCUUCUCCACGCCUUGGCAACAAAGGGGGUGAGUUUCUCGACCUCCAUGUGUCGUUAGCAAUGAAAAGAGAAAGUUGAAUGUCUGACCUCCCUACCUUGGAUGAAAGAGGGGGGUUGGGUUUCUCAACCUCCAUAAUGACAAAAGGAAGAGUUGGGUGCCCGAGCUCCCUACCUCGGGCAGAGGAAGGGGGUUAGGUUUCUUGACUUCCUUAGCUUGGUGGUGGCGUGAGCUACAAUGAGGCUUGGGUGCCAAACCUCUCUACCUUGGGCAGAAGAAGAGAGAUCAGUUUCUUGACCUUUGUGUCUCUUUCUCCUUAAAAGAUAUCUCCAAGUUACCCUCCAUUCUCAAGCACUUUUCAAUAGUAGCUUAAGCAUAAUCCUUAUAACCCAAAAAGUUAUCUCCCCUCGAGGUAGGUCUACCAAUGAUAACAUCAAUUUGCCUUUCCAUUAGCCCUUGAGAUCGAGGUGAGAGUUCUUAGUUCUUUCGAAUGAAUCACUUGGGAUGUCCAUAACAUAUGAGCUCUUCAAUCUAUUCUUUCAAGUCAAGGCAAUCCUCUGUGUUGUUAUCGUAAUUCCGGUGGAACUAGUAGUAUUUGAACAUGCCUCUUUUCACCGAUGAGGUCUUCAUCGGAUAAUGAUCUUUUAAGAGCUCCUUCUCCUUUAUCUAUAAAAAACUUUAGUUUUAGUUAUAUUAAGGGAGGGACAGCUUAAACCUUAGACAAGGUAACUCAAGUCAUUCAUUUUUUCUUUACUUAGUGACCUCAGGUUGGGGGUUGAUUGUGGUUGCUCAUACUUCGGCAUCUUGCAUGACUCCUCACACUUGUCGAAGAUUAUUACCUUAAUGGUAAUGUAUUGAUUGACCCUUUAGAGUACCUCAAGUAUAGUCAUAAGUAAUCUCUCUAUCAACGUCCAUAAAAGACAAAGGGCUUAAGCCCCAUCAUGAAGGUCUAUAUUAUGAGUAAUAUAUAGACAUCUAUCACACCUGGGAUCUCAUUCGUGAAUUGAGUGACAAAGUUUGUGAGUAUUUCCUUCUUCCCCUGCUUGAGUCUUAGGAGUGUUACCACUGAAUACCAUGGGUAUAUGUUCUAAAGAGAGUCAAGUUCAAACUCCCUCACAAGUUGGGCAAAAAAACUGAUGAAAAGUGACUUCAAAAAGGUGUACCAUUCUCGUAUUAGGCCUCUUAUUAUGGUCGGAAAAGUGUGACAUACUAGAGUGUCUGAAGUGUCAUACAGCAACAUUUGGGUGCAAAAAGCUACAAUAUGCUUUAUCAGGUUGGCAUUACUAUCGAAUGCCUCUAAGGAAGGGAGAUGAAAGUUCGCUGGAAUUGAUUCCUCUUGGAUUUUUUAGAUGAACAACAAUCGAUCUACGGUGGGGUCAACCAACUUCCUCCUUUGACUGUUGGAACUUUCAUCGCAUCUCCUCCAAAUAUCAAUCCAUCUAUUGCAGUUGGAUCCGUAGGGAAUCCUUUAUUAUCUUCACUAACUAGGCCUCAAAUUUAGGCAAGAUAGAGUAGUGGUGUAGUCCGUUGAAUUUCAUAAUUAGGGACCGAAAUGCCCUCUUGACCAAUGGUUCGAUAAGUCUUGUAUGCUCUUGGGAUGUUAACACCACAUCAGAUUAGGGAACCUCGAUGAGUGUCACUGUCAAUGGCAGUUAAGCCAAAGAUCACGGUUGAGCUAGUGGCACUGUCUAUUGAGCUAAUUAGGGAAAGAGCGGAGUGACAACCUAUAUCAUGCUUAUUAGUGUCUACAAUCGCUAAAUAAGAUUUAAAAAUAUCUUGACGGGGAUAAAUAGGUGGCUUAGUAUCAUCCCUAAGGAUGAGAUACUUGAGUUAUUGAAUAAACAUCAAUAUCACAUCAGUGUUCACAAUGAGGUGAAUGCAUCUAUGUGCAAAAAUGGUGGCUAUUAUCCACUUUGAGUGAAAGUAUUGUAUGUCCAAAAUAAAAUCUCUUCGCUCGAGCAUUCAUUGAGAGGGUCAAUGAUAGGGUGUUCUUACUACAUUGGGCUCUCCUUCUAGUAUAAAAAAUAUUACAAAAAGAUGUUAUUGACGUCCUAGUUAGCUCGACAUGGUUUGGACUCGUGUGUGUAGGGUUAUUUGAGGUAAAAAUAUCAAGUUCUUAAGAUAUCACCUGUACGAAGACUAAGGUCACGAGAGGUUUUUCGAUUUGGUCUCUCUAACGCCUAAGUUAGUAACCCGAUAUUAAUAAGUAUAGAUACAAGUGGUCAUGUUAGAGAUGAGCUUUUAUACUUAGUUAUAAAGAAGUAAAAUAUUAUAUAAAAUAUUCAAUAGGGAGAUAACAUUUAACCAUCUCAAAUAACUUCCUUUUGGUCUUUUAUCCAUGCGGGCGACAAGAAGGGAUAGUUUACAAUUGUUUACCUUGAACCUUUAUCUACCUGAACAAACAAGUGGAUGAUGGCCUUUAUCUUUUUUUUUACCUUAGGUGUUAUAUAGGGAUCAUGUAUCAAAUAAUAAUUAAUGAUGACUAACGAUAUUCUUCCUAUUAUCGUACUAUACUAAAUAUGUACAAUGUACUCAUAUAUAAUAAAAGUCAUUUUACAUUUAACGAGGGAAUAAUAUUUGAUUCGAAUCACAUAUGACAUUUGUUCUCGUUAGUAUCUCUAGAUUAUCAUGUGCUCUAUAUUAGACAAGGUUAAGUUCACCCCACAUGAUCUAUGUCGAAAAUAAUACUAUAAUUAGUAUGCUUAAUUAUAAAGGGAAUACGACAUUUGUUGUCAUUAGUAUCUUCAAUACGAAUGUGUUAAGAUAUUUUUAGAAAAUAAUAAUGUUAUUCAAACUUGAAUAAUAUUUUUAGAAAAUAAUAAAGGGAAAAAAAUUGGGGAAACAAUGUGGUCAUUGAAUCACUGGUCAGAUCGUAUGCUUAAUUAAAAAUAUUUUAAAAUAUAUAAAAAUAAUUAAAAAUAGAAAUAAAAAAAUAUAAAAUAUUAAAAUUAUAAAAAUGAAUAAUAUUAGAUGAAUGAAAAUAAAACUAUCAUCAUACUGAAUAUGAUAAAAAAAAAUUACAUCAACCAAUAUUAUAAAAAAGAACUUUAUCUAUAUUAAAUAAUACAUGACGAUAUUUAAAAAGUUAAAAAGCGAAUAUCCAAUUCACUUAUGUAGACUUAAGUAAAAUAAAGUAUAUAAUUAUUGGUAUAUAAGAUACGAAAAGUUGUAUAAGAGAGGCUACACGAGGAAGGAGGUGAAGAGAACGAGAAAUGAAAGGUGGAAGGUGAACAAUGGCGGAAGGAGACAGGUGGCUAGCGAUUGAAUAAAAAAAAUUAUUUUUCCCAUCUUAAUCUAAUUUAGAAUGAACAUAAAUAUUCUCUGAAAUAAAUAAUAAAAAAUAUUUUAAUUAAGAAAAUAUCUCGAUUUUUCAGGUCCAAUCAUAUAUAUUCUUCAAGUAAUUUGACUUUGUACUCUUCAAGGAGCUUAUUAUUCUUCCUUUGGGGAGUUGACACGCUCGCUCCUCGGGGGAAUUGACACACUUAAUGUACAUAGGUCCAAACCAUGUGGCCCAAACAAUUGGUUCAGCCCAUCCAUGAACUUGGCCUUCUAUAGUCUUGUAUAUAUCCUCUCUGUCCAUGAUCUGAAACAAAGGCCAGGCUUCAAUGGUCUCGACAUUGGUUGAGGACCUGCACGAUCGGUGGAUAUCAAUAGUUCAUCAUCAUUCCCUUCUAUUACCUGCAGUUGCCAUUUCAGUUCAUGUUGGACUAUCCGAGCUCUACAAGCUAAGUCACAACCAAAUGAUGCGUUGCCUAACGAUAAGACUUGUAUAUUUGAUCUAAAUUAGUACCGUGUCAAAUGGUUAUUAGAUGUCACAUUUGAGCGGAAGGUAGGGGACAAUGCAUCUGCAUAUUGAGGAUGUUCUACUCGAGCUGAUGAUGAGAUGAGACAAGAUUUAUGCCAACUGUUUGUUCCGUGAUCACUACUGUCCAUGUUUGUUUCCAUGAGCACAUGAUGAUCUGUGACUGCCAUUACUGUGCCUCACAGCUUGCUGCUUUUGGGUACCUGAUGAUGAGGUAGAUAACGGUAGAAUUUGUCCAUCCAGUAAAUUAAGCUACGCGAGUAGCUGCAGAUUCGUCGUCUAAUUUUUCUGCAGCAAAUCACUGUUCCCAACUCACAGUAAUGUGUCGUGGUAGGCCUCACUGGCAAGGUUCUUCGGUCACGGGUGAUGGAUUUCCCCGGAAGAGGUCAUGGCAGAAGGGUUAAAGUGGACAAGUCCGUAGUAGACAAGGCAUGGAGGCUAGGAAAAGUGGCAACUCAUUGAGAUUCCACCACCCCAUGAAGCUCCCAUCUCAGCGAUUCAUCACAACCACUGGCUUCACAACGCCAGUUGUCUUCCCUUGUUCCAGUGGAGAUGGAGGAUACGUUGGUCGUCAAUUAGCAUGAACGAUUGUGAAUGCUUUGAUGUCCUUUGGCACUCUGACAGCAAGCUGGAAUUUCAUUCUGCGUCAUCUUUUUGUCACGUCGCCCGGUGGCAUGCAGAGGAUUGAUAGAUUAUGGGUGCCACUGUCACUCAGUGUCGGAGGACGAGUGAGUGCGGAGUCGGUCACAGUAGCAUGUGCUGAAGCCCAAAGAAAGCCGUGGACUUGGGGAAGGCAAUGCGUCGGUGUCGUCUCCGUCUCGGUGGAUGCAUGGAGCAAAAGGACGCAGGGCUUUCGCUUUCUGCACAAGGUUGAGGAGAACAAUGUGGUAAAAUGGUACGGCAAGUGUUCGAGACUAUGUGGCAGAGGACGUGUUGUCAUGGUAGAUAUCGGCAGAUCUCGAGUGCGGGCAGAGUUAACACGGCCAUUCCUACGACCUCAUUGUGCUAUCUAAUCGUCGGAUAAGGGAGGAGAAGAUUCUUGACGGAUUGAUGUACAGGUUAAAAUCACGUCCAUCUUUUUUCUGAUGAGAAGUAAUGGAAGCAAUCUUCACCUGAUGAAGUGUUCGACUUUGUUCUCCAUAUCCUCUUUCUUCAUUACUCUCUCCAUCAAGAUCAAGAUUGGGGCUUUUGGCUAAGAUGGAUCAACUUCUUCUGCACGUGUUCGGAUAAAGCAGACAAAGGUGGGGAGCAGAAGUGUAAAGAUCGCUUGUCUUGUUUUCUUGGAACUAUGCUGGUGGUACAAUUCGACUGGCAAAGUAGCAGUGGUACCACAAGGCAGAUAUACAUGGAAUUAUGUCACAUAUGAGAUAUAUGACAAUUCAAUCUAUUAUUAGUUUAGAGCUUGGCUAUCUGAGCCACUACCUCAGCCAUGUCCAGUGAGAUUGGACUUCGUGUUCUGAAGUGCCAUCCAUCAUCUGGUCCUAUCAGUAACUCAGAAGUCACCUUCUUCUGGUCAAACACUAAACUUCCACACAAUCAAACGAUGUUUGUUCUCUGAAAAAGGUAAUGCAGUCCUGCUUCUUCACAUUUCUUUUCAUUUAUGUUGUCAUUGCUGUUGUUAUGAGCUGAAAACAAUGGGUGAAAAGCUGGUUCAGAUCAAUCACCUUAGUGGGCACAUAGUUGUACUGGGAUCUAUAUUGACACAUGAAAUGAGUGUUUUCCUUCAGAAAAGAACAGUGGAAGUAAAUAAUGGAUGUCAAACUCUUGUUUCACAUGCCAAGAACUACACUCUGUCAAGAAUAAAUGCCAAGGUAGACAAACAAGUGUCAGAAGAAAAAAGAUAAGAACAUCUCUUCUUCUUGCUGCAAGAUGUCACGCAUAAGGUGGUCCAUCCACAGUAAAAUGGAAGGGGUUGAGAGUCUAAUGGGUCCUUUUCCUUCGUUACUUUCUGCUGUGCAAGAAAGAGAUAGGGGAGAGAUUGUUGUCUAAACUUCAAAAUGGAGUGGAAAAUGAUACAGCCAAAAAGAUGCCAUAUUAGUGUAGUAACAUGAGACUGUGAGAAGGAUCAUACAUCUAUAUAAACAUCACUUUGUUCCUAAUAAAAUUGCAGAGUUGGUGUUGCUUGCUUCUUUCAGAUGUCAUGUGAGUAGUUCAUAUGUGAGACAGCAACAAAGGUAGCAUCACAGAGAGGGAAUGACUGUUUUGAGAGAGAUAUGACUUGAGCAAGUACUCAUAACAGACAAAUGAAGUCUACAGAGAAUAGGCUGCAGAAAGUCUAAGCUUAAGCACAAGUGAGUUGCAUAUGACACUGACCAAGAAAUGUCAUUAAAGCAGGACUAUAAAACUUGCCCAAUCAGAGCAUCCAUAUUACUGUUCACAUGUAGUUGGUGGCAGAGGACAUGUGUGAUGGAAAGAGGUAGGCCUACCAGAUCUCUAGUAUCAUUUUCCAUUAUUAAGCUUUACUAGAUGAUGUUAUGAUUGCACAAGAUGUACACUCUUUGUGCCCAUAAAAAAGACAUGAAUUGCUGAAGUUUUGAAGCUUAAGACCAGAGUUCUUUCUUUUCUUUUAAUGAAGAACUGAUGCUUUGCUCAUGUAUAAUAAUGAGGGAUUAAGUGGAGGUUACAAACUAAGUUUAAAGUAUCACUGAUUGUUGAACUCUUAUGUGACACAAUAAAGUGCACUUCUAUUUCUAAGCUUCUUUUUAAUCUCCUCUGUUCUUGUCAUUUUCUUACAGACAUGCAUAAUCAAGUAGAUUCUUUUGGUUCCUGCUUCAACACUAGAUUAUACAGUAUUCCACAGAGAGAAGCAAUAAUUGAGCAAUAUUACCUUCUCCUUUGUUGGCACAAUCAUGCACAAAGGACAGAAUCUGAGACUGUAGAAUUAUAGUAUUGUACAUGAAAAGAUGGGUGAAAAAACAGUAGAUCUAUUUUCUCAAGUGGAGUGAUAGACCUAAUUGCAACAUCACCUUAACUCACAAAGAGAGAGAGAGAGAGAGAGAGAGAGAGAGAGUACCCUGAGCCAUGCAUCAAACAAAUGGCUAUUUGUACUAUGCAGCUAAAGCAAUUCAUGUGAAAUAUCAGAUAAGAAGGUGGCAGCCUCAGUAUUAAAGUAUCAAUAGUAGCAAGUUGCACAAGUAUAAUCCUUUGUUAAAAGCAAUUUAAGAGCCUUAGAAUAGGUGGGGGAUCCAACCCCCUUAUUUACUCUCCAAUACAUAUAAAGGUUUAUUGAAGGAGACUAAUCUACUUUAUCUCAAGACAAGGAGCAAGACUCUCUGUUGUCUGCCAUCAGUGGCUUCUCCAAACAAUGCAGAAGUUUGUGUCAAUACUCUCAGCAUCUAAAAGCUACAUAAAGUAAUUUUGUCAAAAACACAAAAAGAAAAGCUACAUAAAGUGAUGACCACAGUCCACAUCUACCUUCCCUGCAUCCAACACUUGAUGGGGCUGCUGCUUCCCUCAUAGGAUUCCCAUUGUCUACCCAUCCUAACUCCAUGGCUCUCUCUCUCUCUCUCUCUCUCUCUACUAUCCACACAUAAUAAUGCCUCUGUGGUCCAUGCAAACCUCUGCAGUGUCUCCAUAUAAAACAACCACAUGAAAUAGAAGAGGCCCUACAAAAACCUUACUCCUUUGAGAACCUGAACAGAUCUUCACUCAGAUAACUGUGUCAUCAGUACAGCACCUCGUGAAGAGACAGCAGGAAAACACCAGCAAGCAGUACAUUCUUCCCUCUCUCUUCUCUCUCGUUUACUUGUUCCAUGAGACCUUCUUCAUUAGUUCGGCAGAUCAAGCUGCUCAUGUCCUCCUUCCAACACAAGCAAGAUUCCUCUCUAGGCCUUCUUUCCCUAUAGGUGAGACUUGAACCAGCUUGAAGGCAGUCUACUCUCAGAACAGAAGGUUACAAAAAGCAUGCCAUUAAUUGGUCCCAUCAGCAGCUCUCUCUCUUCUUCGUCUCCUUGAGUUAGUCCAGGUAAAAUAUCUGAGGCUGUUCCACACAAUGGAGGUCCUGUUGAUGAACUGUGGAUCUUAUUUUAUAGCUUCCAACAGUCCAUUCCAAUCUCCUUAGUUUUCUACCCCUCUUCCCCUGUGCCAACACACCUCAGUCACAUGCAUUGCUCCCAGUUGAAGCCCCAGUAAUGUAUUGUCUUCCCUCUCCAUUUGCCUUCCUCUCUUAGCUUAUAGCUGAAGCUCUUCAGGCCAGAAUUUGCUGAAUCUUCCAACCCUCCUCUUGCUCUCUCGGUCACUGAGACAUGAUUUGCUCCGGAGCACGAGCAACAUGAGCUCCCAAAGUCGUAGGCUCCAGACCAAAUGGCAGAUCACUAGUUAUCUUCCUCUGCUCCUAUCUUUUCUUCUCCUGAUCAGUCCAGCGUUGGGCCUCAAUCAAGAUGGAGUGCUGCUGCUUAAGUUCAAGUACUCCAUCCUCAGCGACCCCCUCGCCGCGCUCGGCGACUGGAACUACUACGACGCCACGCCGUGCUCGUGGAAUGGAGUCGUGUGCAUGGGCUUCCCGGAUGCCGCUGCUCUCAACUGGACUGUUGCUACCGAUACUAGGAGUGAUGGUGGUGGCAAUACACAGGUUCCCACGUCUUCCAGAGUGAUCAGCUUGGUCCUGCCCAACUCCCAGCUCUUGGGCUCCGUCCCUCCCGAGCUCGGCCUCGUUGAACACCUCCGCCACCUCGACCUCUCCGGCAACAUUCUCAACGGCACCCUUCCUGCCUCCCUCUUCAACGCUUCCGAGGUCCGGGUGCUCUCGCUAGCCGACAAUGCCAUCUCCGGAGAACUUCCGGAGCUCGACUGGCGCAUGAGCAGCAGCCUGCAGGUGCUCAACCUCUCCGACAACGCUUUGAUCGGCAGGCUGCCGGGUAACCUUUCUCGCCUGCCAAAUCUCACCGUCGUCUCUCUUGCCAACAACUUCCUGUACGGCGAACUCCCCGGUGGUGGGUUCGAGAGGCUCCAGUACUUGGAUCUCAGCUCCAACCUCAUCAAUGGCUCCUUACCGUCUGAUCUGGGUGGACCGAGGGUCCGGUACUUGAACCUGUCCUACAACCGCCUCACCGGCGCGAUCCCGCCGCAGCUGGGGGCGAGUAUUUCUGCUAGUGCCACGGUGGAUCUCUCGUUCAACAAUCUCACCGGAGAGAUCCCGCAGGGUGGCGCUUUCGCCGCUGAGAAGCCGAUGGCGUUCAUGGGGAACCCAAGUCUCUGCGGGAGGCCGCUCAGGAACCCGUGCGCCAUCCCCUCUAUCCCGUCUUCCCUCUCCUACCCUCCUAAUUCCUCCACCCUGGCUCCGCAGGCGCCCAAGUCUCCCCCGGCCUUCGCGGCGAUACCCGAGAACAGGGACGAGACGUCGCCGACAGAUAGCGUGAAAAGCUCCGCAGGACGAGGGUCUCUCCGUCCGGCGGCUGUUAUCGGGAUCACGGUGGGUGAUUUGGCCGUCAUUGGGAUCCUUUUCAUUGUGUUCUUGUACGUAUACCAUGUGAAGAAGAAGAGGUCACAAGAGCAGCAGAAAGAAGUUGGGCUGAAGGAAGAUCCGCCACCACCCGUAGCAGCAGCAGCAACAGCCACAACAACAAUGGCAGCCCCUGAAUCCAAAGGAGUAGGCGGGUUCUCUUGUUGCUUGAGAAAGAAAGGCGCGGACGGAGGCGACACCGAGGAGACGUCGGAGACCUCGGAAUCCUCCGAGACGGAGGCAGAAGAGGAAGAAGCGACGAAGGGAACGAAGGAGGGCGAGGAUGGUAAAUCCCACCCGCAGCAGAAGGAACAGGGGGCUACUCUCGUCAUGGUUGACGGCGAGACCGAGCUGGAAAUGGAGACUCUGCUCAAAGCCUCGGCUUACAUUCUCGGCGCCAGCGCGUCCAGCAUCGUCUACAAGGCUGUCCUUGCUGACGGCACCGCGUUGGCCGUCCGCCGGAUAGGGGAGAGCGGUGUCAUCGACAAGUUGAAGGAUUUCGGCGCCCAGGUCCGCGUUAUUGCCAAAUUCCGCCACCCGAAUCUCCUCCGCCUCCGGGGGUUCUACUGGGGCACCGAGGAGAAGCUCCUUAUCCAUGACUAUGCCCCCAGUGGCAGCCUCGCCAACAUCUCUUUCAGCAGUAUGCGUCUCCCAUCCCCUGCUGUCCCCGUCAAGAGUCAACAGCUUCAGUACUAAGCAUUUCCCCAACUGUUUGCAGAGAAGCUCGGCUCGUCGCCGUUGCAUCUGAGCUGGGAGGCGCGACUCAGAAUAGCGAGAGGAGUGGCGAGGGGGCUCGCCUACAUCCAUGAAAAGAAGAGCUUGCAUGGCAAUCUCAAACCGAGCAACAUUUUGUUGGAUUCGGACAUGGAGCCAAAGAUCGGAGAUUUCGGCCUCGACAGGGUGAUGUUCGGCGUGGGCACGUCGGCCCGGCAAUUCGGGAGUAAGCGGUCGAUGCAAUCUUCCAUCAGUUUGCCGGAUCUAUCGGCGGCCACCGGAGCUAGCCCUUCCGUCGGUUCCUCCGCUUUAACAUUCGCCCCUCGGCCGUAUCAAGCACCGGAGUCCCUGAGGAACCUGAAACCCAACACCAAGUGGGACGUCUACUCAUUCGGGAUGGUGUUGCUGGAGCUGAUCGCCGGGAGAGUGUUCUCGGAGGUGGAGCUCUGUCACUGGAACGCAGGGUUUGUGGUGGAGGAAAGGAAUAGGCUUCUAAGGAUGGCCGACGCAGGCAUAAGAGGGGAGGUGGAAGGCAAGGAGGCGGCUCUGUUGAGCUGCUUCAAGCUGGGGUUCGCUUGCUGUGCCAUGGCGCCUCAGAGGAGGCCUUCCAUGAAGGACGCAGUCCAGGUGCUGGAGAACAUAUCUUCCAGCUCUUCUUCUUCGCUCCCAUAUCCAUAGCCUUCUCCUGUAGAAUCAGCAACGCCAUUAACAUUGAUUCGUUCGUCUUUGAUGCGUUCAAUCUUUAAGGGAUUAUUGUUGUUCUGGAAACGAUUAAGCCGUGCACACCGUACUGUUCGUAUGAAUUGGUAGCAGCAACGCGAAGGUAAGGUUCUUCCAUGGCCCCCGGAUUCAACCUUGGAAAGCUACUACCAACAAAUAAAGAGGAGGGCCACUCUCUUGCCACUCUGUGGCAGUACAGAUUCUUUGCUCUCUCCUCGUGCAUCCAUAAUUAAGCCUUCCCUAGAUCUCCCAUUUCGCCAGUGCCAUAACACAAAUGUGGAGGUGUGUAUGCUGUAAGCAUCUGUGACCAAAGAAGGAUGAGGCUGUAGGUAUUGAUCCUUAUGAACAGGCCAUAUAUGGUUACUGGGGACAAGAAUUCCAGUUGUGCAAACUGGAAUACGUACUUACUGGACUCGAGGAAGAGCAUCACCUCCGAAAUGGACUCGAGAAGAAGAAAAGAGUGGUGGAAGACUUCUCCCCAAACUUAUCGUAUAGCAGGAUAUUUUUGUGGUUGCAGUGUUUCAUUUGGUCAUUGCCUAGUUUCUGUGCGAGCAAAUUGUAGCAAGGAAUUUGUUGUACCAAUUUUCUGGAACAGAAUGUUUAAGCAAAUUUGCUGUUAUUUAUUAACUAUUCCGCCUAAAUUAAUUGUCCUUGAUAUGGCCUAUUUUAGGAUGAUAAAAGAUGAUGUAAAUGUAUGUGAAUUUAGGCUUGUUUCUCGCUUGCAGGUUAAAAAUGAUUGUUUGGAUAGUUUUAUUGGAUCAUUUUUGCAUCUUACAACUUCCAUAAUGAGCAGCGUAAAACGUCAAUCAUCUCAACAUCAUCGAACCUCCGAGAGGUAUAGAAUCGAAUGAGACUUUUGAGUAGGACGAUGAUGAAGAAAGGAGUCAAUUGACGUUUUUGUUAACCCGACGUGAUAUAAACCCGUAUGCACGGGAUUAUCCGAGGUGAAAAUAUCGAAAUCCCGAGAUGUCAUUUGUACGAAGAUCGAGGUUAAAAAAGAUUUCUUGAUUUGAUUCCUCCAAAGCCUAAGUUAGUAACUCGAGGUAUACAUGAGUGUGAACGUAAAUAACUAAAAAAGAUAAGCCAUCUUUUAUUAUGUUAAAAACGAACUUUUAUAUUUAAUUAUAAAUGGAUUAAAUAUUCCAUGAAAUAUUACAUAGGGAAACAACCUCUAACCAUUUCCAACAAACUUCCCUUGACCUCUUAUCCACGUGGGUGACAAAGGAAGGUGAUUGUGCGAUCAGGUGAUUAUCUAUAAUCAUUUGUCUUGAAUUCUUAGCCACGUGACUUUCGUCUUCUCCUUUUAUCCUUGAUAUCAUGUGACAAUUACGUAUCAAAUACCGAUUAGCUAACGGUAUACUCUCUAUUGGACGAUAUUGCUUCACUACAUGUCUAUAUGAAAAUAAUAUAGCUAGAAAUUUCAUCAAUUUAUCUUAUGUUUAUUGUCAUCAAAAAUCUUUUUAAACUGUAUCUGUCUAUGUGAUCUUAGUUCAAGUGAUACAAGAUGCAAGAUACGCGGCAUGUGCAUUCAUCACCACCAGCUACCCUAUCGAUCUUAGGAUGUAUCUUACCAACUUGAAAUGCUUAAGCUCAAAAUAAUAAUAAUAAUAAUAAUAAUAAUAAUAAUAAUAAUAAUAAUAAUAAUAAUAAUAAUAAUAAUAAUAAUAAUAAUCUCAUCGAGCCCUUUCGAUUCAUUCACGUGUUGUCACGGAAACCCCACGUCAGCCGACGUGAUUUCUUGACUAUGAUCCAAACCCAUACUAGUAGCUUGGGCCUAAACGGGCCGAAUCAGCUUGCGUUGGGCCCAAGGAUAUCUCGUGUCUGCGUAGUGCCACAAGGAAAUGGCGAGGAGUUGAUUCUACUGCAUUUCUCCGUCAGUUUGCAUGCGUUUGACAGGUUUCACCUCACCUAGUCCAGUGAUGAGAAACAAAAGCCGGACGAAGGGAAACAAUGAUCCCAUGCAAGCAAGCACGCAUGCAUCAUGGUGUUGCAUUUUGAACAGGCCAAACUAAUCAAACCUGUGGACGACUAACUUUCAUGUCAGGGUGGGUGACUGCCAUGUUUGAUGCUUCCUUCUCAUCUGACCGAAUGGUAUGGUUACUGGUGAUACGACAGAGAGUAGACCGAAGUGUGACUCGCGUCUUCUAUAUUAUCUAUCAGACAAAGAAUGAUAACAACAACCGAAUGCAAACAGCCAACAGGCGUUCCACUGUGGUGUACAAACCAAAGUCGACGGCGACAACUCUCCCACCACCGCCAGUAUUUCUUUUCUCUUCGUCGACGAUGGUGUUAUCUCUAUGCAUCGGAUGAGAGAGUACACAGCACGAAAUAUAUCUCUCGGGGGCAUGACUCCACCAGCUAGCCGUCCACCUGAUGAUUUUUUACCUAUCCAUUGUCUCACAUUGGUUGAGGAGUAUGAGAACCAAGACUAAUAAGUCCAUCAAGUCUUUCUUACCUUUAGAAGUAUUUUUUGAAGUUCACACGUUCCAAAAAGAGAAAAUCGUAAAGGUACAUCCAUCGUUCAAAGCGGACAAUUCCUCCAUCAUUCAAAACGAACAAUUCCUCAUGAGCAUACGGGCUGCACCAAUGAUCGACCGACCAAAUGAUCAAGUUAUAUAGGAAAAAAACUUUAAUUAAAAAUUAAAAGAGAAUUCUCAUAUAUUAUUAAUAACCAAAAAAUCAUAUUAGAAAAUGGAUGCAUAUUUCAUAGAUUAAUCAUCAUAAAUCAAAAAAAUCAAAAAUAAAUCAACAAAAAAAUUUCUCUAUAUGAGAUCAAUCAUAAAUCAACAAAUUUUCUAUAGAUUAAUCAUAAAUAAUCUUCAAGUUAACCCCAACCUAAGCGCCCAAUUCCCUUAGAUACCCUUUUAUAUUAAAUCAUCAAAAAUAAUUUCUUAUAUAUUUUCUCUCGUCCUCUUUAUAUCCAUUAUAAAAAAAACACACAACACCCAAAUUAUUUUAUCAUAUUUUGCUUUCACAUUAAAAUCUAAAGAUAUAUCAGGUAUUUAUAGUAAUAAAAUCUAAUCACUAAUGAUUUAUUUUUCUACUUAAAUUCCUAAUCAUAAUCCAUUAAGUAAUUUGAAUCGCUUAGCAUCCAAAAAUACUACGCCACCCAAAUAAACACUGGUUAAGAAUAGAAUUGCAGUGCAUCACCGACGACACAGACAGAGUUGAUGUGAUGGACGUACUCGGGUGACGAAUAAGCAGUCAAUUGGACCAAAUACUUUGGAUGGACAAGCUCGGAUUUGGAUUCUCCUUCGGUGGCGCAAUAAUAAUCGAGUGCAGGAGAUUGUACCAAUCGAUUCAGGAUGCAGUGUUGCAUUCGAUGGUGAUGAUAUCACUGUUGGGGGCUGUCAGAAUUAAUGUGUGGUGGGCAAGGGAGCAGAAUGAAUUGGACGUGUCAACAAUCUGCUGUGGCAUUGACUCGGUGGCGACGAAGAAGGUGUUGGCCUGCCGACAUUCCAUAGCAUUCGAGGACAUGCUUGAUCGUAGAUGCUACCUACCUAUUGUGCAUCCAUGGCUGCAAUGUGCUGGGAGUUGAAUGUAGUCCACGUCUCCAAUGUAUUGUACUCGAUCUCAUGUUUGUGAAGUGUGGGAGUUGAUGUGCUCGACGAAGGACGACGUGGAGACUCACCUGUUGCCAUGUUCAUCAUUGUCAGCAAUAUCAAGCACAUAACUUCUCUCUCUCUCUCUCUCUAAAGAACGGGAUAUACCAGACAUAGGAAGCCAAGUUAAUGAUGGUUUGAACGCAUUUCACCCAUUCAGGCUGGACGACAAGAGUCGGUGAAAGGUCCAGAGUUCAAGUGAUUUCGUGAACACCUCUGAGAUUGCACAGUUCCUCUAUUCUUCUACAGGACCUCCUACCAUCUCUAUUCCCACGUUUGACGCUCGUUCAUUAAGCAGCAUUAACUUUCCAUUGUGUGGUGUGGCAGCAGAUUCAGGUCCUCAUAUCUAUCCUCCAUUUGAUGUGAGGAUGCUGUACCGUUGUUGGGAUUUCUGAUGUGCUGUGGGACUCCCUUAAUCAUUGUACCGAGACAAUGUGCAUCUGAGUCAGUAAACAUUGAACUCGGCACUUCAUCUCACCAACACAGCAGAUGGCAUGUUCGGUCGGCACCACACAAUGUGGACGCCUCUCGGUCCGCCAUUUCUUCAAACAAUUCAUCUGUACGACAUCCACAAAUACUCGAAGAAAUCAUUGAGUGGCCAUUCCGGUACAAGAGCUGAAAGAAGAAGAAAGCCUGGCGACAACGUUUACCGAUGCAGCUUACCGAGAUAUGGAUCGUAGAUCACAGCUCCCUCUUCUUCCUUCAAGACCACAGAGCCCAUCAAACGAAGAACAGUGCAUGUGGUCUAAAGGAGAGCAUCAUAGACGAUAUCCGCAGCCACCGUGUCAUGCUUAUCCUCUAGCCAGAGACCAAAUGGUCCAUGGAGUCCACCACCACCACCACCACCAUUACCUUUCCCUUCCUUUCUUGCUCAAAAGCUUAGACCAAAAUCUUCCUCUUUUGGAGCUGCAAUCAGAUCACGUAAUUUUUAGGUCUUCAUCAUAUAUGCGAUUCCGCCUUCUCAUACCUUCAAAAACAGAACAAACAACUCAGUUCGACCGAACCAAUCUUGUCAUGUAGCGGUGAGGGGUCAACCAUACAUCCAACCUCGACUUACAUAUGAUACUUUUUAUAAUCGUCAUGUAUUUUAUCUUAUUCAACACAAUAUACUGCACCUCAUCUACAGGUGCAUCUUAUUUCGUGCCUUGAAGCGAAGGUCUCAUCGGAACUAUGGUCCUGGUGUCGGACGCAAGGCAACGAGCUGUCACCGGGUCCCGCCACUACUUCCCGUACGUCGGUCGGACACGUGGGGGUUUGACCGAUGGUUGCUCUGUGGGGGCCCGCGGGGAAGGGGAGCACGGACAAGUACACGAAGCCCUCCCUCCCAUAUUCUCCACGUGACGGGCAUCAUGAGGUUUUUGUGAGCCUACCAGGAUAGAAACGUAACACGGUUAAAUUGGAUGUCCGUUCGAUCGAGAUUUCAACCCACAAGGAGAAAAAUUAGGAUACUAAUGAAUGGCUACAGAAGCAAAAGUCGAACGGGAAGUGACGGUUGUUACAUGAGAAAAGUCAAAGGCAAACAGUGAGCACUCUGCAGCUGCGAACGGAAAAGAAACCUGCGAACGGAGAAGCAUAUAAUAUACAAAUCGAUAAUUGCCAUAAAAAAUAGGGAGGGAAGCGGACGCAUGUGGGCCCGUGGGAAGGAGAGUCAAACAACAGCUGGAAGUGUGGGCCGAGCCAACAGCUGUAAGGAGUGCACACGACGUACGAGUCACAAAAAAGGCCAAAAUCACGGGAUAGCUGUUGCGCAUUUACUUACCUAUUCUGAAACUAUCUCAAUUUUUACACGUAGGGUGUUCCUUGGAAAUCAUGCAUGUAAGAUAGGAACGAGGAAGACGCGAGGAAGCCGAAGAGGUGAUCGGAUCGUGGAGCGAAGGGGGGGAAGAGGCGGCAUCCGACAAGGUGACAGCCUGGCGUUUAUGGACUUUAUGCAGCAUCUUCCGUCCAUAUCAUGAAAACAUUGUACCAACAUAACAAAUAACAACAAUGUCGAGUAUUAUGAUCAUUUAUGGAGCACCAGAACUUGUGGUGGAUGGAGAUAUGCAUUAAACUCCAACAUUAGCGGACUAUUACACUGAUAAUUUCAUGCACGGAAAGGGCCCCAGCGCGUCGUUCGUGGAUGAUGUUCGACGCGAUGGGUCGUGGACUGGAUGGCGCAAGCGUGGGGUACGAUUUUGAUUUGACGGCAAGCGGGCCCCGCAUUGACUCGUCAUCCUCUCCUCUAAGGAGCAGGCGGGGCGGGUAAGUUGGUGGCGUGGGUCGAUGUGUGAAGAGGACAGGAGUGAGAGGGCACAGAAAGCGUGCAAUGAGAUGGCGACGCGUGUACAGCGCCAGCUGUAUGCGAUUGCGAGCGGAACCGGAAGAGGGCGGGAGCGCCCUCCGUUACGUCGGUCGCCGCCGACCCAGGUGGCUCUGCCUCUCUAUAAAACCCCUCCGAAGCACUUCAUCUUCUCCUUCGUAUUGCUGCUUCCUCUUCCCUCUCCUAGUCUCUCUGUCUCUUGAAAGUGAGGUUGUUUACCUUCUAUUGUUCUCUUUUCUUUAGGUUGGGGGAGUUUGGGUCCCUUGGUGGCGGCGAUGGGAAGCAGGAAGGAUGUGGAUAGGAUCACGGGGCCGUGGAGCCAAGAGGAGGAUGAGGCGCUGCAGAGUCUGGUGCAGCGCCACGGACCUAGGAACUGGUCGCUCAUCAGCAAGUCCAUCCCGGGUCGCUCCGGAAAGUCAUGCCGGCUGCGGUGGUGCAACCAACUCUCGCCACAGGUGGAGCACCGCCACUUCACGGCGGAGGAGGACGAGAUCAUCGUCCGCGCCCACCGCCGCUUCGGCAACAAGUGGGCUACCAUCGCCCGCCUCCUCUCCGGCCGCACCGACAACGCCAUCAAAAACCACUGGAACUCCACCCUCAAGCGCAAGUAUAGCACCGCUUGCCCCGUCGACAACGAGCUGCGGCACCGGUACGACGCGAUCACGACGGAAAAGGAGGCGGCGGCGCAUCGGGAGGACGAGGCGGUGGCGACGAGGCCACUGAAGAGAGCAAGCAGCGACGGCCUCACCCUGUUGUCCGGCGGAGCGGGUCUUUGCUUGAGCCCCGGAAGCCCGUCUAGAUCCGAUCUCAGUGAUUCCAGUCACCACAGUCACUCGCUAAUCUCUCCGCCGGCGGCGGCGUCACACAUCCAUCAGCCGUUUCCCAGAACUGGCGGUGUCGUGACUCUCUCCUUUUCUCCGAGCCAACACCACCAUCAUGGCGGACCGAUCACUGCUGCUGCUGAUCCUACUUCUCUAAAGAACGACGACGGUCCAACGACCUUCCUGACCCUCUCCCUCCCCGGCUCAGAUCAGAUUCACACCUCCAGCCACCGCCACGUCCUGGCCGGCCCCAACACCAACAACCAGAACCAGCUCCAACCACUGCCGUCCUCCGCUCAUGCCCCCCAUCGGAUGAUGCAGCGAUGUUCAGCCACCGCCGCCAGCCCUUCUGGCCGCGCCCGGAUUCCGAACGCCGAUGAUGAGCGUCGGUCUGCACCUUUCUCAUUCAGCGGCGAGUUCAUGGCAGUCAUGCAAGAGAUGAUCCGCAGCGAGGUGCGGAGCUACAUGGUCGAACUGGAGCAGGGCCGCAUGGUGUGCGGCACGCAGCCGCCGCCCUGCAACGCCGCGGCGAAGCGCGUCGGAGUAACGGAUGCAGAGUAGAGUACGUUUUGAAUCCAGAUCAUGAAGGAAUGAAGGAAUCAAAGAAUGUCUUGGACCAAGAAGAAGACAACGGUGUCUCCUUUUCCUCUCUGGUAGUCGCUCUCAAUAGUAAUGGGUUGGAUGCUUCAAUGAGAGAAGGAAAUUGUACAGGAAAACGGGAAAGAAGUGGGAAGAAGAGCGAGCACUUCGUUUCAAUCUCCUCCUCCUCCUCUGUUCUAUUCCAUGUAAUGAUUGUGAAGAUGGAGGAGGUUUUUUCUUGGUUUACCAGUGAUUAUUUGGUUCCAUCGAAUCGUACAGUAAGAAACGACGGGUCGGAAAGAUGAGCAGAAGAGCAGCGCAAUAUCAAUUUCGUUUGUCUUGCAUUGAACUGUCUGUUGAAAUGCGGGGAGUAUUACGGCGAGCGACGGCUAAAACGAUCCAUUUAUGUUACGUGCCGCCUUAUUUUACUGGUAUUAUUAUUUAGUCACCAUCACCAAUUAGUGCGGUUGGGAGUGCUGCACUUCAAUGUUUCCGUUUCCGUGGCAGCUCAUCUCUGAAGCGACGGCAUUGAUUUCUGCAUUGUGAUCGAGCCCUGAUACCUUACUGUGCUCUGUUGUUGCACUUGCUUCUUCUCGGACACAACUCAGAUAUUUAGAAUCGACUAUAUUAAGUUAAAAUAAAAUAUUUAAUUUUUUAUUUAUAAUUUUUAUUAAAAUAUUCUUAGGUUUUUAUCUAUGCCUCUUAAUGUUACUAAUAGUAAUCCUCAUGUCUUCUAAAUAUGUCUAUAUUUCUUAUUUUAUCUUUUAUUAAAGUGAUAUUUAAUUAUUCAUAAAUAAUUUUUUUCUUAUUUUAAGUAACUUUACUUAUUUAUUUUAAUAUUCUCAUCUUAAUAACACAAACUCUUUAUAUAUGUUUCUAUCUACUUAAAUUCAUAAAAUAUUAUUAAUAUCUUUAUCAAUCUUUCCAUUUAUAAUUGAUUCGAGAUAACUAAAGAUUUUACUUUAUGAAAGUUGCUAUCCAUCCAACGUAAUCAUUUUUUUAAUCUAUUUAUGAUAUUUUAAAAUUUUUAGAAUCCAAUUAAAUAAAAUUAUUUUCACAAAUAAGCUUUUAGUUUAUUUAUUUUGAUUUUAAAAUUUUUUAUCUUACUAAUUAAUAGAGUAAGUGAAAAAAAUAUUAGAUUAUGUGAUUCUAAUUAUUUGAGAUAUAUUAUAGAUACGAUUGAAUUAGUUAUUGAUUAAUAAAAAAAAUAUAAUUAUGAUAGAAUUCGACUUGGAUUAGAGUGACUCUUCUAAUUACUAUAACAUUAUUGAGAUAUUAUAGAUCUCUCGUUAUUGAAGUGAAUCAUUUACUGAGAUAUUAUGGAUCUUCUCUCAUCUCCCAUUUAUCGUUCAUAACAAUCAUGUGAAAGAUAGGAAGAUAGGAAGAGGACAAAUCAACGUCACUAUAACUAUUAAAUCCAACAACAAUAUAAAUCAGAUAAAAACUUUUAAACAGCAUCAAGAUGUAAUAUUAAAUAUAUUAUUAUUUAAUUAUAUUUGUUUAUAUUAAAUUUUUAUUUAAUAAUAUGUUAUAAUUUUUAUGCGUACAAGCUUCGCGUUCCCAGGACAAUUCCACCGCUAACCGAGAAUGAUGGAUACUUUAGUCGAUGGGUUGUGGCUACCAUACUAAACUACAGCCAUCAACCCUUACAUGCUUUUUUGUGUUCCUAAGUUGUCAUAUUCUUCUCGCUACCAGUAAUCACCGCACGAACAUUUCCCUUUUCUAAAAGAAUGAAAUCGUCUGGAAUCUCUUAGGAUGAUCUCCAUGCCUUCAACCUCAGACGCAAACUUCAUCCACCUAUGACAAUCCUCACAUACUCGCAGAUUCUUGAUCACCCGAAUUACUCCUCCUUUCCUCUUUCCUGUGUGUAGUAAUGCAAACGAUACUGCUAAUCUCUCACUAUGAUAUCUUAGGACUGCUUCCUUUUGAGCUUCAUCAACAUCAUGGAGAACGUAGUCUGUCAUGGGAACAUACCCAAUGUCUCUACACUUCUCAUCCAACUCCUCGAGCUUCUCAUAGAUUUCCUUUCGGUUUUCGUGGAAACCAUCGGCGGCCACAAAGACAUGCUUCCUAUUUCCGAUCUCUACCCAGCUGCAUCCAGCUUCCUUCUUCAAUCCUUUCUCCCUCAUCAACCUCCUUACCUCUAAAGCAUCCUUCCACAAGCCAAAGGCAGCAUAGAUGUUGGAAAGAAGAACAUGAGUAGUCUCAUCGUCAGGGUCGACUUCCAAGAUCCUUCUUCCAACGCGAAUGCCAAGUUCAAGCUGCUUGCGUGCAUGGCAUGCCCCGAGCAGUACUUUCCACAGCCACAAGCAAGAGACACCUUCGAGGCCCAGGUGAGAAGUUGCGAUCUCUAUCGUAGCCUCAGCUUUCUCAAACUGGCCCGAUCGACCAAACAAAUCCACCAGGCAAGCAUAGUGCUCAAUGCUUGGCUCAGCGUCACUCUCCUUGCUCAUCAAAUUGAAAUAGUGCGCACCUUCCUCUACCAGACCUGCAUGAGCACAAGCACUAAGCAAACCCAGAAAAGUAACUGCGUUCGGCCGAAUUCCAUCUGCUUUCAUUGCCUCAAAGGAUUCAAGUGACCGAUAGGCCAUCCCAUGAUGUGCAAAUCCUGUAAUCAUUGCCGUCCAUGAGAACACAUCCCUCUUUGGCAUCCUCCCAAACAAUUGAGCUGCAUCGUCUAUGCUACCACACUUGGAAUACAUGGACACAAGUGCAUUGUUGACCGACAAGGAAAAGGUCGGAGGAGAGGAAGCAUGGAGGCAUUGCUUUACAGCGGACGCAUGCAACUGCUUUCCCAGUUCGACGGAGACCAAUCUGCUGCAAACCGUAAGAAUGAUCGAAAAGGUCGAAUGAUCUGGCUGGAAGCCUUGCGUGUGCAUCUCUACAAAGAGCAUCAUCGCAACACGACAGCGCUCAUUGGUCGAACACCCAUCGAUCAUCGAGUUCCAAGUGUGGGAGUCGCGCUCGCUCAUCCCCUUGAAGACCUUCUCUGCAUCUCCAACCCUAUCACACUUGAAGUACAUGGUUAUGAUGCCAUUAUAAACGGAAACGGGCAGUGAUUUGACUGCUGCUCUUCUCACUAAAUAGCCAUGAAUCUCUCUUCCCAACCUACAAGAAGAAGACGAUACCGAUCCUGGCGACAUCGCACAGAGAAGAAUGGUCAUAGUGUGGAAAUCAGGUCUGGAUCCUGAUAGCUGCAUCGCUUUGAAUAGCUCGUAGCAGCUACCGAGCUGGCUGUUCUGAGCAUAACCAGAGAGCAUGGAGUUCCAGCUGAUAACAUCACGGGAAGGCAACAUCUCAAAAGUCAACCUCCCCGUCUCCACCUCGCCGCACUUCCCAUACAUGGUGAUCAAUGAAUUGCCUGUGCUCGUCUCCCCAUCAAGAUUUGAUCUAAUUAGCCGUGCAUGGACCUCCUUCCCCAACUUCAAGCCCGAGAUUGUGGCUAUAGCACUCAGCGCGCUGAGAAAAGUAAUUCUAUUUGGCUGCACAACCGGUGGAGCUUUCAGUCCUGCCAGCCUACGGAGAAAUGCCAAUGCAUUCUCGCAUUCACCAUGUUGUUCGAGGCCGGAGAUGAUAGCAUUCCAAGAAACCACGUCCCUGGCAGCCAUCGCCUCGAACACUUUCUGCGCCUCCUCCAAAUGACCCCAUUUCGCGUACAUGCUGAUGAGCGAGUUAUGCAUCUUGAUCUCAUCAAGCAUUUGGUCUUUCUGGAUCAUCGCAUGGAUCGCCUUGCCGAUGCGAACUUUUUUGCUCGCCGAGCAUGCGCUGAUGACGAUCGCGUACGUCGCAUCGGUUGGCGUCAACUGCGCUGCGCCGAGCAUGGCACCGAACAAAAGGAAGCACUCAUCGUAGUAGCCAUGAAAGGCGUAGGCGGAGAUAACGGAGUUCCACGUCGGGACGUCGGCCUCCUCGGCCAAGGGAACUUCGUCGAACACGUGGCGGGCUUCCCCCAAGAGGCCAUUGGCGGAGUACAUCGCCACGAGGGAAGUGCGCACGCCUCGCUCCGAAGCGAGGCCGGCGCGGAUGGACUUGGCAUGGAGCUGCUCGCCGAGGCAGCAGUCGGAGAGGUUGGAGCUGGCUUUGAGGAGGCUGCCCAGCGCAAACUCGUCGGGGGUCCAUCCGGACGCCAAGAGUUCCCGGAAGAGUUGGAAAGAUUGGGAGAACUCCCCACGCAUGGUUUUAUGAAGGAUGAGGGAGGAGGAGGAGGAGGAGGGAAUUGAGUGAUCACGUCGAGCAUUUCGUGGAAGAGCGGAGGAAGUGUGAGCUCGUGGAGAUGGGGCUGGUAAGAGGAGCGGUUGGACGGGAGCAGACGACACGGUGGUCAUCUAGGCUGUGGCUGAGGAGGGUGUGGGUUGAGCAGCGGCGGUCGGUUCAUAGCGAUAAGUAGACCCACGUCUUCCUCAAUUGGGUAAGAAUCAAAUUACAGAUAACCCAUAACCUAACAACUUCAAAUUUUGAAUUAAAUUAGUAUGAUAUAAGUUAAUUUUGACUUAUUUGACUAAGACUUAUUAUUACUAUACUUCUAACAUCUAACCUAACCCACAGACCCCGUUGGGUCAAUCCACAGCUCAGUCUAUUAUUUUGUGGUUCUGAUCACAGUCCGAUUUAAAUAUACAUCAUCAGUUUCCGUUUAGUUCUGAUUUAUGAUUUUGAGUAAUCAGAUCUGAUUGUUGAUUUUAUUUGACUCUGACUCUGUCACGUUAGUGUUAACUAUUGCCAUGUCAGCACAUACUUGUGUCAACUCAGCAUGACUACUGACAACAGAUUGCAUGGCAAUCUACCAAUCUGGUUUAUGACCAACUACGUCAGCAAUAGAUUGUGUCAAGUCAGCUAUGUCUCUUGACACAACAUACUGCAUGGUCAAUUGCUGAUUGAACCCGAACCACACCCCUAGAUUGAGCUCAAUCAUUACUUGCGGUCACGCCCGACCACAUCCUGAUUGAGUCCAAUCUUUGCACCCAAUUUUGAUUGGGGAGGUCCAAUCCUGCAUAAGCCCAAGUAGUGGGCUGGUUAUGCGGUCCAACCCAUAGGUUGGCACUGUGGGUGAUUAGUGACCUGAUCCCAGAACAGGCUCAUGAACAGUAAUUAAUUAGAAUAUAGGUAAUUAAUAAAUACGUAAAUACUUUAGAAUAACGUAUAAAGUUAAAAAAAUACAUAAAAAUAUCCCAAAGAUACAGAUAAUACAAAUAAUUGCAACCAUUAUCAUAUUCUAUCCCCGUUGACUUCGAUGAUGAUGACUCUCAUCUUAUAUGUUAUAUGUUAUAUAACACAUAAUUUGUUAUGAUUUGAUUACGUUGAUGGGUGUGUGACACUGAGUAGAGAGAUAUUUAUUAUCUUGCUUAGAGCAGCAGACUAGUAUUAGUAGAGCGAUUCUCUAAGUGUUUAUAGUACUUAAGGAAUUAAUAGAUCGUUAGACGUGGAAGUCAUUCAGUCUCUCGCUAGCGCAAAGAGAGACAUGUUGCCUGAGGCACCAAUUCAUCGACUAUCGAGAGUCUAAUAUGAUUUCUUUCUAUCGGUUGAACUAAGAGAUUUGAAUAUUACAUUUGUUGAUGAUGAUAUAUGCAUGGUAUUAUUAUAUUUAUAUAUAUUAUUCUUGUGUGGACUGUACAUUACAUUCUACAUUCUUUAAUCAUCAUUCUACAGGUUUUUUUUAUGCUUAUGACAAAAAAAUUGCUCUCCUUCAAGUUCUAAAUAGUCAAAUGACCUCUUUUCAGUCAUGUAAUAAUGCGACGGUACCCAAAAAUCCAAAAAUAAAUCGAAUUAAUUUUGCCAAAUCCAUCAAGUUUGACCAUAUCACCUGUGUAGGAACAUGUUAUGGCUUUUAGAGGAUGGCCAAUGAGGCAUCGAGCCUCCCCCCUCGGCAUGUGGCCCUGUGCAAAAGCAAUCCACUCCAAAAAGACCCUUCUUUCUGUUGUGCUCUCCACGCCAAAGACCACACAUUGGCAAUAGAUUAUUAUCAAUCCGUGUAAAUCUCUCUCGUGCAUGCCUACCAGGUGCAAUGUUCCCCCACUCGGGUAACAGCGAACUGCUCCUUUUGCACGGACUCCAUUUGUUUUAGCUCUCGUUCCAAGGUAGAGGAAGCGGCGAGAGAGAGUUUAGUGGACUACGGAAGCAGGAGCGCAGGAUGUGUGUUCCCAAAGAGAAGGUUAAGGAAACAAGUGCGAAGCCUUGUUUGAUCUCAUUCUUUAUGUUUCAUUGCUGCAAUUAACACUUCUAUCAGCCAACCACCAGCUGAGACGCUGGCGUCAAAGUGGUUCUACCCAUGACACCGGCAAUGGAGGCAACCCCCGUCUUUGGGUUGCUCCUCUUUUCAUUGUUUGACCAUUGCUUCUUGUUUUCUCUUUAGUUCAAAUCCUCUGAAUACUUUUUUGUUUUUUUAAUGUGAUCUCUCUUCUUUAUGAAUUAUUGGAUUUUUAGACCUAUCGCCCUUAAAACCUCGUCUGCUCGGGUGAAGACAAAGCAAGACAUCCCCAUCUACUACUGGACUCUGAUCUGCCGGUAUUCAAUCAAGCAAGCAUGCAAUGGCGGAACACGAAUCUUUGGACUAGUGUGGCAAUUACAUUGCUCGCAACACACACAGCAUAUGAAUCGAUGAAUUAGAAAUCUCAAAGCUUUCCAAUGGAGAAGGCGCGCAGGAUCAGUAUGGCCUGCUGCACUUCAGAUACACGAUUGAUUUCUAAUGGCCCAGCACGACCAGUUCCUGAUCGAAUCCAUGGAACACUUCGGGGUCGUCCUCGCCCACGUGAUGCUGCUCGUUGAGGGCCGCCGCGUUCGCAUGGAAGUCGGUGCUCUUGAUGGUCAUCCCAUCCGCUCCCAAUGCGACGACGUCACCCGCGACGACGUCGGUUUUCAUCAACAGCAUGCACGCGAGCAUCGCGAGGAUUACUGUCGCGCGAAGGGAGGCCAUGGCAUGCGUCGCCGUCGGUCGAGCCGGUGCGCAAGACGAAGAAACAAAGGCCAGCGGACGGACGGACGGAGGAAGGGAUGGAAGGAGGAAGGGGAGCGAAGGAAGCUAUGUAAAGGGAAGGAAGCCAUCAUUUGCG